UACGAAGGGGGGCUAGCGUUGCUCGGAAUGACUGGGCGUAAAGGGCGCGUAGGCGGAUGGCACAGUCAGAUGUGAAAUUCCCGGGCUUAACCUGGGGGCUGCAUUUGAUACGUGUUGUCUUGAGUUCGGAAGAGGGUCGUGGAAUUCCCAGUGUAGAGGUGAAAUUCGUAGAUAUGGGAAGAACACCGGUGGCGAAGGCGGCGACCUGGUCCGACACUGACGCUGAGGCGCGAAAGCGUGGGGAGCAAACAGGG
This 254-nucleotide ribosomal RNA is filed under the name uncultured bacterium. Its description in RNAcentral is "partial 16S ribosomal RNA". It matches the Rfam family "Bacterial small subunit ribosomal RNA", at positions 524 to 777 of the family's 1533-position model. The record is from RNAcentral.